GACGAACGCUGGCGGCGUGCUUAACACAUGCAAGUCGAACGGAAAGGCCCUGCUUUUGUGGGGUGCUCGAGUGGCGAACGGGUGAGUAACACGUGAGUAACCUGCCCUUGACUUUGGGAUAACUUCAGGAAACUGGGGCUAAUACCGGAUAGGAGCUCCUGCUGCAUGGUGGGGGUUGGAAAGUUUCGGCGGUUGGGGAUGGACUCGCGGCUUAUCAGCUUGUUGGUGGGAUAGUGGCUUACCAAGGCUUUGACGGGUAGCCGGCCUGAGAGGGUGACCGGCCACAUUGGGACUGAGAUACGGCCCAGACUCCUACGGGAGGCAGCAGUGGGGAAUAUUGCACAAUGGGCGGAAGCCUGAUGCAGCAACGCCGCGUGCGGGAUGACGGCCUUCGGGUUGUAAACCGCUUUCGCCUGUGACGAAGCGUGAGUGACGGUAAUGGGUAAAGAAGCACCGGCUAACUACGUGCCAGCAGCCGCGGUGAUACGUAGGGUGCGAGCGUUGUCCGGAUUUAUUGGGCGUAAAGGGCUCGUAGGUGGUUGAUCGCGUCGGAAGUGUAAUCUUGGGGCUUAACCCUGAGCGUGCUUUCGAUACGGGUUGACUUGAGGAAGGUAGGGGAGAAUGGAAUUCCUGGUGGAGCGGUGGAAUGCGCAGAUAUCAGGAGGAACACCAGUGGCGAAGGCGGUUCUCUGGGCCUUUCCUGACGCUGAGGAGCGAAAGCGUGGGGAGCGAACAGGCUUAGAUACUCUGGUAGUCCACGCUGUAAACGGUGGGUACUAGGUGUGGGGUCCAUUCCACGGGUUCCGUGCCGUAGCUAACGCUUUAAGUACCCCGCCUGGGGAGUACGGCCGCAAGGCUAAAACUCAAAGGAAUUGACGGGGCCCCGCACAAGCGGCGGAGCAUGCGGAUUAAUUCGAUGCAACGCGUAGAACCUUACCUGGGUUUGACAUGGAUCGGGAGUGCUCAGAGAUGGGUGUGCCUCUUUUGGGGUCGGUUCACAGGUGGUGCAUGGCUGUCGUCAGCUCGUGUCGUGAGAUGUUGGGUUAAGUCCCGCAACGAGCGCAACCCUUGUUCACUGUUGCCAGCACGUUAUGGUGGGGACUCAGUGGAGACCGCCGGGGUCAACUCGGAGGAAGGUGGGGAUGACGUCAAGUCAUCAUGCCCCUUAUGUCCAGGGCUUCACGCAUGCUACAAUGGCUGGUACAGAGAGUGGCGAGCCUGUGAGGGUGAGCGAAUCUCGGAAAGCCGGUCUCAGUUCGGAUUGGGGUCUGCAACUCGACCUCAUGAAGUCGGAGUCGCUAGUAAUCGCAGAUCAGCAACGCUGCGGUGAAUACGUUCCCGGGGCU
RNAcentral lists this ribosomal RNA (1346 nucleotides) under uncultured bacterium. Its description in RNAcentral is "partial 16S ribosomal RNA". It matches the Rfam family "Bacterial small subunit ribosomal RNA", at positions 28 to 1381 of the family's 1533-position model. The record is from RNAcentral.